This 73-nucleotide transfer RNA is filed under the name Capra hircus (goat). It matches the Rfam family "tRNA". Rfam says of the family: Transfer RNA (tRNA) molecules are approximately 80 nucleotides in length. The record is from Rfam by way of RNAcentral. Lineage: Eukaryota; Metazoa; Chordata; Mammalia; Artiodactyla; Bovidae. RNAcentral also lists the same sequence under 1 other name.
UCCCUGGUGGUCCAGUUGUUAGGACUUGGUACUCUCACUGCCAGGGACCUGGGUUCGAUUCCUGGUUGGGAGA